Molecule: long non-coding RNA, 639 nt
Organism: Pseudophryne corroboree (corroboree frog)
Lineage: Eukaryota; Metazoa; Chordata; Amphibia; Anura; Myobatrachidae
Exons: 5
Source: RefSeq, a predicted model, not a curated record
ACAUAGUACCAUGAGGUCUUAACACAUUACUAACUAAUAAUAAAUUAAUUAAUCAGCCAGCAGGAAGUGAUGUAAUAUCAAGGGAGCUAUAAAGGGAUGCCCCUAUAUUGCCUCUCAUUCUGUAGUUGGUAUUCAAUGAGGUUGCACUUGUUCCUGUAAAAAGGAAUAGUUUCGUUCAGGAUUUGAAAUUUUCCUAAGUUCUCUGUUUGGUGACAUGUAUAAACAGAGGUAGACUAUAAGGUUCCACCAUUCUUGAUUGAAAAUAGGGAACGUAACAUCAUCUAAUUUCAACCAAAUUUAUAUAUAUUUUUUUGAAGUCUAUCUAGAUAUUAUAUUUAUCGAAUUGAAUAUGUGAUUGGAUGUAAUCAUUGGAUAUUCUAAACCUUUCUAAUCAAUGGUAAUCACUCCUACUAUAAGAACUGAUUCCAAACCCCUGAUGAAGUCCUAACGGACGAAACGCGUUGGGUUUUGCAACGUCUGGUUAACAAAGUCCUUAUCACAAACAUCUGGUUGGAGAUACAUCCAUUUCGAGUUCUGACUGUGAUCACCUGGCUGUAAAAUCCUCACAUCCAACUGUAAUUUAUGUAUAAGAUUGUAAUAUUGUUUUAUAUGAAUUUUUAGAAGGUUGUGUCAAUAACG